RNAcentral lists this ribosomal RNA (1298 nucleotides) under Campylobacter jejuni. Its description in RNAcentral is "partial 23S ribosomal RNA". It matches the Rfam family "Bacterial large subunit ribosomal RNA", at positions 467 to 1761 of the family's 2925-position model. Lineage: Bacteria; Pseudomonadati; Campylobacterota; Epsilonproteobacteria; Campylobacterales; Campylobacteraceae. The record is from RNAcentral.
UAAAUACUAAUACCAGAUCGAUAGUGCACAAGUACCGUGAGGGAAAGGUGAAAAGAACUGAGGUGAUCAGAGUGAAAUAGAACCUGAAACCAUUUGCUUACAAUCAUUCAGAGCCCUAUGUAGCAAUACAGGGUGAUGGACUGCCUUUUGCAUAAUGAGCCUGCGAGUUGUGGUGUCUGGCAAGGUUAAGCAAACGCGAAGCCGUAGCGAAAGCGAGUCUGAAUAGGGCGCUUAGUCAGAUGCUGCAGACCCGAAACGAAGUGAUCUAUCCAUGAGCAAGUUGAAGCUAGUGUAAGAACUAGUGGAGGACUGAACCCAUAGGCGUUGAAAAGCCCCGGGAUGACUUGUGGAUAGGGGUGAAAGGCCAAUCAAACUUCGUGAUAGCUGGUUCUCUCCGAAAUAUAUUUAGGUAUAGCGUUGUGUCGUAAUAUAAGGGGGUAGAGCACUGAAUGGGCUAGGGCAUACACCAAUGUACCAAACCCUAUCAAACUCCGAAUACCUUAUAUGUAAUCACAGCAGUCAGGCGGCGAGUGAUAAAAUCCGUCGUCAAGAGGGAAACAACCCAGACUACCAGCUAAGGUCCCUAAAUCUUACUUAAGUGGAAAACGAUGUGAAGUUACUUAAACAACCAGGAGGUUGGCUUAGAAGCAGCCAUCCUUUAAAGAAAGCGUAAUAGCUCACUGGUCUAGUGAUUUUGCGCGGAAAAUAUAACGGGGCUAAAGUAAGUACCGAAGCUGUAGACUUAGUUUACUAAGUGGUAGGAGAGCGUUCUAUUUGCGUCGAAGGUAUACCGGUAAGGAGUGCUGGAGCGAAUAGAAGUGAGCAUGCAGGCAUGAGUAGCGAUAAUUAAUGUGAGAAUCAUUAACGCCGUAAACCCAAGGUUUCCUACGCGAUGCUCGUCAUCGUAGGGUUAGUCGGGUCCUAAGUCGAGUCCGAAAGGGGUAGACGAUGGCAAAUUGGUUAAUAUUCCAAUACCAACAUUAGUGUGCGAUGGAAGGACGCUUAGGGCUAAGGGGGCUAGCGGAUGGAAGUGCUAGUCUAAGGUCGUAGGAGGUUGUACAGGCAAAUCCGUAUAACAAUACUCCGAGAACUGAAAGGCUUUUUGAAGUCUUCGGAUGGAUAGAAGAACCCCUGAUGCCGUCGAGCCAAGAAAAGUUUCUAAGUUUAGCUAAUGUUGCCCGUACCGUAAACCGACACAGGUGGGUGGGAUGAGUAUUCUAAGGCGCGUGGAAGAACUCUCUUUAAGGAACUCUGCAAAAUAGCACCGUAUCUUCGGUAUAAGGUGUGGUUAGCUUUGU